RNAcentral lists this unclassified non-coding RNA (333 nucleotides) under soil metagenome. RNAcentral describes it as "partial contains 5.8S ribosomal RNA, internal transcribed spacer 2, and large subunit ribosomal RNA". The stretch from base 1 to 120 matches the Rfam family "5.8S ribosomal RNA", at positions 35 to 154 of the family's 154-position model. The record is from RNAcentral.
GAUGAAGAACGCAGCGAAAUGCGAUAAGUAGUGUGAAUUGCAGAAUUCAGUGAAUCAUCGAAUCUUUGAACGCACAUUGCGCCCCUUGGUAUUCCAUGGGGCAUGCCUGUUCGAGCGUCAUUUGUACCUUCAAGCUCUGCUUGGUGUUGGGUGAUUGUCUAUCUUUGUAGACUCGCCUUAAAGUCAUUGGCAGCCGGCAUAUUGGCCUGGAGCGCAGCACAAGUCGCGCUUCUUGUCAUGAAUGUUGGCGUCCAGUAAGUCUACAUAUUUUGCUCUUGACCUCGGAUCAGGUAGGGAUACCCGCUGAACUUAAGCAUAUCAAUAAGCGGAGGA